GACGAACGCUGGCGGCGUGCUUAACACAUGCAAGUCGAACGGAAAGGCCCUGCUUUUGUGGGGUGCUCGAGUGGCGAACGGGUGAGUAACACGUGAGUAACCUGCCCUUGACUUUGGGAUAACUUCAGGAAACUGGGGCUAAUACCGGAUAGGAGCUCCUGCUGCAUGGUGGGGGUUGGAAAGUUUCGGCGGUUGGGGAUGGACUCGCGGCUUAUCAGCUUGUUGGUGGGGUAGUGGCUUACCAAGGCUUUGACGGGUAGCCGGCCUGAGAGGGUGACCGGCGACAUUGGGACUGAGAUACGGCCCAGACUCCUACGGGAGGCAGCAGUGGGGAAUAUUGCACAAUGGGCGGAAGCCUGUUGCAGCAACGCCGCGUGCGGGAUGACGGCCUUCGGGUUGUAAACCGCUUUCGCCUGUGACGAAGCGUGAGUGACGGUAAUGGGUAAAGAAGCACCGGCUAACUACGUG
Molecule: ribosomal RNA, 468 nt
Filed under: uncultured bacterium
Lineage: Bacteria
Description: partial 16S ribosomal RNA
Rfam family: Bacterial small subunit ribosomal RNA
Source: RNAcentral